Clupea harengus (Atlantic herring) is the source of this 2550-nucleotide long non-coding RNA. The record is from Ensembl. Lineage: Eukaryota; Metazoa; Chordata; Actinopteri; Clupeiformes; Clupeidae.
GUCCAUCAUCGUAUAAAGCCCGCCUUAAUAAUUUGAUUGGUACGGCCAAUAUCUGUCCGCAGAUAAUUUCUCCUCAAUGGAGUAAUGCCAGACCGAACUUCCCAACCAAAAAAUGUGUGGGCGGGGCUAAGGUCGGUCUGGUAUCCAGGCUAGUAUUUAUCUGUAUUUACAUAAACAUUGGAUUUAUAUGUACAUGUCUUUGUAUUUCUUUGGAUUCUUCUACAGAUCUCUCAUCUCCUACAGAAAAUAUGGCAUCACAAACCCUACCUCCACGACAGGAUAAACUCACAGAUUCAGUGGAUGGAGAUACCUUCUGUGAAAAGCAGGAAUAUUCAGAUUAUGACGGUGGGACGGAGUCUGAGAAGUUGAACAAUGAAGGUAAGAUCCAGAAAGCUCAAGAGAUCCAGACGGAGGACAUUGACCACAAGUCUGAGGACAGCAUAGUUGAAGAACUGAGCCAAGAUGAUCAGAGUGACAUUGACAUUGAGGCGGUACAUUUAGUGGAGGUUGAAAGCAACAUCAUCAGCUUCACUGAAAUGAGGAAACCAGCGGCAUGUGCAGCAGUCCAGGAGGACCAGUCUGGGCAACAGUCAGCAAAGCCAAAAGACAUGGCAAAGGAACAGAAGGAUGGUGAUAUGAAGGCAGAAAUAUUGAGGGUGGAAGAACAAGUGAAGAGAGUUCAAGAAAACAGCCAGAAGCAUAAGACAAAACAGAAGCAAGAGACAAUGAGGUUAAAUGAAGAAGAAGAGAUAAAGAUGAUGGAUGCAGAACAUGAUAAAGCCAAUAUGUCAAGGAGACUGGAAGAGAAGAGUAUGAGUGCUCUGGAAGAAGAGGAGAGGAGGAAAGUAAAGGAGGAAGUUGAGACAGAGAUGGUGAAAGGACAUCCAUCCCCUGCAGAGAAGUUAGAGUCUGAUGAUAAAGUCUUGAGAGUCCCAGAAGAAUGUGAAAAAGAAGGAAAGAAAGGCAGGAAUAAAGGCAAGGAGAUCCUGACGGAGGACAAAGAACCUAUGAUGAAGCCCGAAAAGACAGCACAUGCAAAUUCAGAGAAUAUUCUACUGAAGUCACCUUUACAAGGAGAUCACCUCUCUUCCAUUGUGGAAAAGGUGACAUCAAAACCUUUGCCACCAUUACAAGACAUGGACAAGCAUCAGCUACAUGAUGGUUCUAAUGGAGCAAUGGGGACCAUGAAGAAGCAAAAGAAAAAGGCAAAAGACACAAGAAAAAGAAACACAGAGGCUAAAAAAAGGAAAGACAACGAGGUAAAAAGAUUGGAAAUGGACAGAGACACAACGGAGAAAGAGAAAGAGAAGAUGGUUGAAGAAAAAAAGAAAGCCGAGCUGAUUUGGAGACUGGAGGAGGAAAGACUAAAGGCUUUGGCAGAAGUGACAGAAACAGACAUGGCAAAGGAACAGAAGGACGGUGAUAUGAAGGCAGAAAUAUUGAGGGUGGAAGAACAAGGGAAGAGAGUUCAAGAAAACAGCCAGAAGCAUAAGACAAAACAGGAGCAAGAGACAAUGAAGUUAAAUAUGGGCAGAGAAAGAAUGGAAGAAGAGAUAAAGAUGAUGGAUGCAGAACAUGAUAAAGCCAAUAUGUCAAGGAGACUGGAAGAGAAGAGUAUGAGUGCUCUGGAAGAAGAGGAGAGGAGGAGAGUAAAGAAGGAAGUUGAGACAGAAAUGGUAAAAGGACAUCCCUCCCCUGCAGAAAAGUUAGAGUCUGAUGAUAAAGUCUUGAGAGAGCCUGCAGAAUGUGAAAAAGAAGGAAAGAAAGGCAGGAAUAAAGGCAAGGAGAUCCUGACGGAGGACAAAGAACCUAUGAUGAAGCCCGAAAAGACAGCACAUGCAAAUUCAGAGAAUAUUCUACUGAAGUCACCUUUACAAGGAGAUCACCUCUCUCCCAUUGUGGAAAAGGUGACGUCAAAACCUUUGCCACCAUUACAAGGUAGUCUCACUUGUUGUUGUUAGAAUCUUGUUGUUGAGUUGUGUUUAUAUGUGUAUGACCUAGAUGUAAAACAUCCUCAGCCCGCUGGUGAAUUUCAGUUUCCUGUUCAACUCUGCAAAGUUAUCACUAGUACACCUCCAGUGAUUAACACUGUAGAAACUUGUGUUCAAAAGAGAUAUUGUGAGAUGGCUUGUUUUUGCACUGAUGUACAAAUGAUGUGUGUGUUUUAAAAUCCUUUAAUUAGACAUGUGCAAGCAUCAGCUAGAUGAUGGUUCUAAUGCAGCAAUGGAUGAGGAAUGCAUGAGGAAGCAAAAGAAAAAGGCAAAAGACACAAGAAAAAGAAACAUACAGGCUGAAAAAAGAAAAUACGAGUUAAAAAGAUUGGAAAUGGACAGGGACACAACGAAGAAAGAGAAAAAGAAGAUGGUUGAAGAAAAAAAGAAAGCUGAGCUGAUUAGGAGAUUAGAGGAGGAGAGACUGAAGGCUUUGGCAGAAGUGAAAGAAAUGUUGAAAGCAAAAAAAGCUAUUCGAAUGUAAACACUAUCGGAAGGGCCAUCUUCCGAAUAAGAUAAUCAGAGACGUAAGACAAAUGUCAUCAUUCCAGAUACUCAC